CCAGCCGGCUUCCGUAGUGCGUCCGGCGAAGAUACCGGCUCCGCGGGCGCCAGGGCCUCACACACAAACGUUCCAGGCGGCCGCCGGGAGGGCGCAUGCGCUUUCAGGAAAGCUGUCAACAGAGCCGCUCGGCAGCAAUGUAACAUGGAGUUAGCAUCCACCAUCUUCUCUCCUGAAGUGACUGUGGAGUCUAAAGAGACUGGAGAUUUGAAGAGCUCCCCUCUCUCCUGCUCUCCUCAGCUGUGCCCACUCUUCUCAUGAAGUCAUCUCCACCAGUGAGAACGUCCCAUACCGGUGGGUCUGGUUCAGUAUGCAUGUAACAUCCCAUUCAGGUUGUGUUGGGCAGUUUCCAGAGGGAGAAUCUCAUGAUGCUUACUUGUAUGGACACAUGACUCCAGAGAUUGCUAAGAGCAGACUUCCUGGGUGAAAUCAUUCUCUUCUUGGUUGAGCUGAGAUUUUAUCUUGUUCUUGAGUCAGCAGCCCUUUUAUUCUUGUGCAUUCUAUCAUCUCCACUCAUCUAAAGAACUUCUCCUGGAUUUUCAUCCUAUUGUUUUCUUUGAUAAACAAAUAUUAUUCACGA
Non-coding RNA from Monodelphis domestica (gray short-tailed opossum), 580 nucleotides. Lineage: Eukaryota; Metazoa; Chordata; Mammalia; Didelphimorphia; Didelphidae. The record is from RefSeq and is a predicted model, not a curated record.